Molecule: small nuclear RNA, 125 nt
Filed under: Dipodomys ordii (Ord's kangaroo rat)
Lineage: Eukaryota; Metazoa; Chordata; Mammalia; Rodentia; Heteromyidae
Source: RNAcentral
GGAACCACUUACUGUCCUUUCUUUUCACUAAGUUCUUAUCACCGAAUUUGGAGCCAUACAGAGAUGAUUAGCUUUGGCCUGUGCUCAAGGAAUACGUGCAAAAUUGUGAAGCAUUCUGUAUUUGU